ACGCCUACUCUCAUUUGGCAUCCGUUACGGCGUUGCCUCCAGGCUCCAGUUGCAUAACACUCUUGAACCUGUCUCGAUUGGUUUGGUUUUGCAGCGUCCUGUAUGAAGUUUUCCCCAUGUCAUUCCUAAUGGAGCAGGCUGGAGGUCAGUCCUUCACAGGCAAAGAACGGGUAGGGAUUUUCGCGCCUCUAUUUUCUGUAGAAAACAGAGCAUUUCUGCUCCCUUGCCAUAGAGCUGCUUGUUCAGUACCUGUACCUUGAUGCGGCGAAAUAUGUUGAUGAAUUGCCACUGCAGGCUCUUGAUCUAGUCCCAACCAAGAUCCACGACAGAUCCCCGAUAUUCCUCG
RNAcentral lists this long non-coding RNA (346 nucleotides) under Sorghum bicolor (sorghum). RNAcentral's name for it is "long non-coding RNA (SBIC_LNC005790)". Lineage: Eukaryota; Viridiplantae; Streptophyta; Magnoliopsida; Poales; Poaceae. The record is from RNAcentral.